This 439-nucleotide ribosomal RNA is filed under the name uncultured bacterium. Its description in RNAcentral is "partial 16S ribosomal RNA". It matches the Rfam family "Bacterial small subunit ribosomal RNA", at positions 339 to 795 of the family's 1533-position model. The record is from RNAcentral.
CUACGGGAGGCUCCAGUGGGGAAUAUUGGACAAUGGGGGGAACCCUGAUGCAGCAACGCCGCGUGGAGGAUGACGCAUUUCGGUGUGUAAACUCCUUUUAUAUGUCAAGAAAAUGACGGUAGCAUAUGAAUAAGCACCGGCUAACUCCGUGCCAGCAGCCGCGGUAAUACGGAGGGUGCAAGCGUUACUCGGAAUCACUGGGCGUAAAGGACGCGUAGGCGGGCUUGUAAGUCAGGUGUGAAAUCCUACAGCUUAACUGUAGAACUGCACUUGAAACUUCUAAUCUAGAGUAUGGGAGGGGGAGAUGGAAUUAGUGGUGUAGGGGUAAAAUCCGUAGAUAUCACUAGGAAUACCUAAAGCGAAGGCGAUCUCCUGGAACAUUACUGACGCUAAGGCGUGAAAGCGUGGGGAGCAAACAGGAUUAGAUACCCCCGUAGUC